Molecule: ribosomal RNA, 395 nt
Filed under: Eutomolasma maclaughlinae
Lineage: Eukaryota; Metazoa; Arthropoda; Thecostraca; Balanomorpha; Pachylasmatidae
Description: partial 12S ribosomal RNA
Rfam family: Microsporidia small subunit ribosomal RNA
Source: RNAcentral
UAGGAACCAGGAUUAGAUACCCUGCUACUUUUUGUUAAGAUAUUUUGGAGUAUUAGUAAUUAUGAAAUUUAACGGAUUUGGCGGCAAGACAAACCAUUUAGAGGAACCUGCCCUAUAAACGAUGAACCACGAGAUACCUAACUCUUAAAAGUAAACAGUUUGUAUACCGCUGUUGUCAGUCAGUUUUUUUAGGAAGCUUUCAGAAAUGGUAUAUCCAUAGACUUCAAGUAAAGGUGCAGCACAUAUAGGAGGCAGAGGUGGGUUACAAUUAACUGAAUAAUUACGGAGGGGAAAUAUGAAAAAUUUUUCUGAAGGUGGAUUUAAUUGUAAAAUUUAUGAAGUUUUGAUGUGAGUACUGUCUUGUGUACACACCGCCCGUCGCUCUCUUAUAUAAA